AUUGAACGCUGGCGGCAGGCCUAACACAUGCAAGUCGAACGGUAGCACAGAGAGCUUGCUCUCGGGUGACGAGUGGCGGACGGGUGAGUAACGUCUGGGAAACUGCCCGAUGGAGGGGGAUAACUACUGGAAACGGUAGCUAAUACCGCAUAACGUCGCAAGACCAAAGUGGGGGACCUUCGGGCCUCACACCAUCGGAUGUGCCCAGAUGGGAUUAGCUAGUAGGUGGGGUAAUGGCUCACCUAGGCGACGAUCCCUAGCUGGUCUGAGAGGAGGACCAGCCACACGGGAACUGAGACACGGUCCAGACUCCUACGGGAGGCAGCAGUGGGGAAUAUUGCACAAUGGGCGCAAGCCUGAUGCAGCCAUGCCGCGUGUAUGAAGAAGGCCUUCGGGUUGUAAAGUACUUUCAGCGGGGAGGAAGGCGGUGAAGUUAAUAACUUCACCGAUUGACGUUACCCGCAGAAGAAGCACCGGCUAACUCCGUGCCAGCCGCCGCCGUAA
RNAcentral lists this ribosomal RNA (504 nucleotides) under uncultured bacterium. RNAcentral's name for it is "partial 16S ribosomal RNA". It matches the Rfam family "Bacterial small subunit ribosomal RNA", at positions 29 to 523 of the family's 1533-position model. The record is from RNAcentral.